UUGAAAGGGAAACGAUUGAAGUCAGUCAUGCUAGUGAAAAAUCAGUUUGACGGGUUUUGAGUUCUUGAGUAGAGGCAGGGUCAAACCGUUUCUCUUUUGAACUUGGGAUUUGUUAGAUGUACUUUUUCGUUUGGCAGGUCAACGUCGGUUUCGGGGGUUGUAAAAUACUUGGGGGAAAGUAGCUCUGCUUCGGGAGAGUGUUAUAGACCCUGGGAGAUGCAGCCUGUGGGAUCGAGGAUUGCAGCAAAUGCCUUCUGGCUUGUCGCCUGUUCCUGGGUGUUACCUCUCUUGCGACAACAUUCUUGCCUCUUAGGGUACUAAUGCCUACUGUUUAGUGCGAUCGACAUGCGUUAAGGAUGUUGACGUA
RNAcentral lists this ribosomal RNA (367 nucleotides) under uncultured Glomeromycotina. Its description in RNAcentral is "LSU rRNA". Lineage: Eukaryota; Fungi; Glomeromycota. The record is from RNAcentral.